GAUUUCUUGCCGCCGGGUAAGUAUAAGCGCUGGUUUCGUAUCGUUAGGCCAUGAAGAUACGAGACGGGCGCUUAUUUUUUU
RNAcentral lists this non-coding RNA (81 nucleotides) under unclassified sequences. The record is from RNAcentral.